AGUAAUAGACGAUAAUUCGAAGUUGGUUUCGACCCAACCCUAGGUAUAACACCCUGUUACUA
RNAcentral lists this transfer RNA (62 nucleotides) under Falcidens halanychi. RNAcentral describes it as "tRNA-Arg". Lineage: Eukaryota; Metazoa; Mollusca; Caudofoveata; Chaetodermatida; Chaetodermatidae. The record is from RNAcentral.